GUAGUUGAGGCUGGCCUCGAACUCACAGCGAUCCUCCAGCCUCAGCCUCCCAAAUGCUGGGAUUACGGGCAUGCGCUACUAUGCUGUUGUAAAGCUAUGCGUCCAUGCCAUGAAGCAGGACAUGGAAGCUCUGGGUGCAGGCUUGGAGGCAGCAUCCUCUCCACUCGCAGAUGGAAAGGGAUGCGGGGAAGGCACGUGACCGGCGGGAAGGCACGUGACCGGCGCGAGGGCACCUGCUGCGUCUGCAGCCCAGCCACUGCUGUUCGAAGUCAGCACAGUGAGACGCCAGCGACACCUUUAAUGAGCACAGCUCGAUGCUCGGUUGAAAGCAGGCGAAGCCUGGCGCUGGGGCCAAGGACGAGGACGAGGCUGGCAAAAGCAGAGCCGCGGCAAGUGGCUGGACUCGGGGCUGGAUAUCCUUGCGGAGGACAGAGCUGGAGAAGUGGGCCCUGCACCCCUCUGCUGCUCCCGACGGUGAGAUCCCCACGUCGGGGCGCCGGGGCUCCUGGUACGAGGGCGGCUGGGCUCCCUGGCCUCCCUCCCAGCCUCUGGCAGCCCUCCCCGCCCUCCCAUUGCCCUCACUUCCUUCUCUCCAGGGCUUGAGGCUUCAAAUGCUACAGGGCGGCAGCUCUGUCUUUCAUCUCUGGCUGAGCCUCUCUCCCGGCCGCGUCUGCCCAGCCCAGGGAUUGUAGGGCAGAUUCCCAGAGACCGGAGCAAUUUCUAGAGAAAAUGCAUGGGCUCCAUCGCAAGGGUGCCGAGUUUUUCUUUUGCUGGCGAAGAAUGUGAACAGAACGACACAAACCCACAGCGUGGGAAAUCCCUCCAUCGACUUCAUGCGAUACAUCACAGCUCAAAUCCCCACGAAGGGAUGGACGUCCUCGUAGAAGGAAGGGACAAUCUGCCCCUGAAGAGAAUGUCUACGUCCUCACCCUGUCUCAGCCUAGCGCCAGGCCUUGGUUCCUGGAGGACGACGGGGACAUCCGGUCCAGGGCACUGUAGAGGUCAGGACCUGGCAAAUAUUUUAAACAAACCGAGGAAUUUCACGCAUCUUGAGACAGCCCUCUGUGGGGCUCAGGGCCCCGCCUCAGGCCUCAAGACUGAUGUUUCCACUCUACCUUGCACUGGGCUACAAACGACAGAAAACCCCAAACAGCAAACAGGAAGUGCCUUUCGCCAAGUGCUCCAUGUCAGGAGAGCUUUGGCAGCCUUGGUACAAGAGUUCCUGAGCACACAGUCACCCCGACUUCACGCUCCACAAGUCUGAGCUUUUGUCCUCAUAGUGCUACGGUGGCUGCCCCCAUGUUGUCAUUACAUCCAUGUUCCAGGCAGAAAGAAAGAGUGGGGUCCGCGUUCUCAGAGGGGGUCACUGUCUCUGGAGGUCCCCAUGCCCAGCGUGCAGUGUUGGCGCCCCAGGGAUGAAGCCUGGUGUAGCUUUGCCUCGAAGACUCGCUGACCGGGACGGCACCACCGCACCAUGAACGCCGCCUUCUCGGGUCUGAGCCUCAGGGAGCGGAAGUGGGUGUGUUUCUAGGUCAGUUGGGCCCUUGAGUAUGGUUUCCCCCGCAUCAUUUUGCAUGCUGUGCUGGGUUAACUAAUGGACAGCUUGGAACGCCCAGCUGAACUGAGUCAGCAUGAUUUUGAGCGUGGAGGGCCCACCCGGGGAUCGCUGCCAACAGCAUAAAAGAACUGGAGGGGAAGAUGGUGCUGUGGAUUCUCCUGGAGAAGCUUGAAGCGCUGG
Molecule: long non-coding RNA, 1738 nt
Organism: Chinchilla lanigera (long-tailed chinchilla)
Lineage: Eukaryota; Metazoa; Chordata; Mammalia; Rodentia; Chinchillidae
Exons: 3
Source: RefSeq, a predicted model, not a curated record